This 501-nucleotide ribosomal RNA is filed under the name uncultured euryarchaeote. Its description in RNAcentral is "bacterial SSU rRNA". It matches the Rfam family "Archaeal small subunit ribosomal RNA", at positions 343 to 849 of the family's 1478-position model. Lineage: Archaea; Methanobacteriati; Methanobacteriota. The record is from RNAcentral.
ACACUUUACAAUGCGGGAAACCGCGAUAAGGGAACCCCGAGUGCCAGCAUCAAAUGUUGGCUGUCCAGAUGAUUAAAAAUCAUUUGUUAGCAAGGGCCGGGCAAGACCGGUGCCAGCCGCCGCGGUAACACCGGCGGCCCGAGUGGUAGCCGUUUUUAUUGGGUCUAAAGGGUCCGUAGCCGGCCUGAUAAGUCCUUUGGGAAAUCUGGCAGCUUAACUGUCAGGCUUCUAAGGGAUACUGUCAGGCUUGGGACCGGAAGAGGUAAGGGGUACUCCAGGGGUAGGAGUGAAAUCUUGUAAUCCCUGGGGGACCAUCUGUGGCGAAGGCGCCUUACCAGAACGGGUCCGACGGUGAGGGACGAAAGCUAGGGGAGCAAACCGGAUUAGAUACCCGGGUAGUCCUAGCUGUAAACGAUGCUCGCUAGGUGUCAGACACGGUGCGACCGUGUUUGGUGCCGCAGGGAAGCCGUUAAGCGAGCCACCUGGAGUACGUCGCAAGGC